GCCGGGCAUGGUGGUGCAUGUCUGCAAUUCCAGCUACUUGGGAGGCUGAGGCAGGAGAAUUGCUUGAACCCAGGAGGCGGAGGUUGCAGUGAGCUCAUAUCGUGCCACUGUACUUCAGCCUGGGUGACAGAGCAACACUCUGUCUCAA
This 148-nucleotide non-coding RNA is filed under the name Chlorocebus sabaeus (green monkey). Lineage: Eukaryota; Metazoa; Chordata; Mammalia; Primates; Cercopithecidae. The record is from Rfam by way of RNAcentral.